CCUACGGGAGGCAGCAGUGAGGAAUAUUGGACAAUGGGCGCAAGCCUGAUCCAGCCAUGCCGCGUGCAGGAAGACGCAUCUAUGGUGUGUAAACUGCUUUUGUACGGGAAGAAACACUCCCUCGUGAGGGAGCUUGACGGUACCGUAAGAAUAAGGAUCGGCUAACUCCGUGCCAGCAGCCGCGGUAAUACGGAGGAUCCAAGCGUUAUCCGGAAUCAUUGGGUUUAAAGGGUCCGUAGGCGGUUUAAUAAGUCAGUGGUGAAAGCCCAUCGCUCAACGAUGGAACGGCCAUUGAUACUGUUAGACUUGAAUUACUAGGAAGUAACUAGAAUAUGUAGUGUAGCGGUGAAAUGCUUAGAUAUUACAUGGAAUACCAAUUGCGAAGGCAGGUUACUACUAGUGGAUUGACGCUGAUGGACGAAAGCGUGGGGAGCGAACAGGAUUAGAUACCCUGGUAGUCCACGCCGUAAACGAUGGAUACUAGCUGUUGGGCGCAAAGUUCAGUGGCUAAGCGAAAGUGAUAAGUAUCCCACCGNGGAGGUACGUUCGUCGAGAAGUUAGAAAGUUAAAGUUAGUUAAGUUAGAGGCGNGAGAGNGCGACGGACGACGACGAGGGAGGAGG
RNAcentral lists this ribosomal RNA (622 nucleotides) under uncultured bacterium. RNAcentral's name for it is "bacterial SSU rRNA". The stretch from base 1 to 534 matches the Rfam family "Bacterial small subunit ribosomal RNA", at positions 338 to 873 of the family's 1533-position model. The record is from RNAcentral.